RNAcentral lists this ribosomal RNA (253 nucleotides) under uncultured bacterium. RNAcentral's name for it is "partial 16S ribosomal RNA". It matches the Rfam family "Bacterial small subunit ribosomal RNA", at positions 524 to 776 of the family's 1533-position model. The record is from RNAcentral.
UACGGGGGGGGCAAGCGUUGUUCGGAAUUACUGGGCGUAAAGGGUUCGUAGGUGGCCUGCUAAGUCAGACGUGAAAUCCCUCGGCUCAACCGGGGAACUGCGUCUGAGACUGGAAGGCUUGAGUGCAGGAGAGGAACGCGGAAUUCCAGGUGUAGCGGUGAAAUGCGUAGAUAUCUGGAGGAACACCGGUGGCGAAGGCGGCGUUCUGGACUGCAACUGACACUGAGGAACGAAAGCCAGGGGAGCAAACGGG